This 797-nucleotide ribosomal RNA is filed under the name uncultured bacterium. Its description in RNAcentral is "bacterial SSU rRNA". It matches the Rfam family "Bacterial small subunit ribosomal RNA", at positions 64 to 834 of the family's 1533-position model. The record is from RNAcentral.
UGAUUGAUGGUGCUUGCACCUGAUUGAUUUCGGUUGCCAACGAGUGGCGGACGGGUGAGUAACACGUAGGUAACCUGCCCAGAAGCGGGGGACAACAUUUGGAAACAGAUGCUAAUACCGCAUAACAGCGUUGUUCGCAUGAACAACGCUUAAAAGAUGGCUUCUCGCUAUCACUUCUGGAUGGACCUGCGGUGCAUUAGCUUGUUGGUGGGGUAACGGCCUACCAAGGCGAUGAUGCAUAGCCGAGUUGAGAGACUGAUCGGCCACAAUGGGACUGAGACACGGCCCAUACUCCUACGGGAGGCAGCAGUAGGGAAUCUUCCACAAUGGGCGCAAGCCUGAUGGAGCAACACCGCGUGAGUGAAGAAGGGUUUCGGCUCGUAAAGCUCUGUUGUUAAAGAAGAACACGUAUGAGAGUAACUGUUCAUACGUUGACGGUAUUUAACCAGAAAGUCACGGCUAACUACGUGCCAGCAGCCGCGGUAAUACGUAGGUGGCAAGCGUUAUCCGGAUUUAUUGGGCGUAAAGAGAGUGCAGGCGGUUUUCUAAGUCUGAUGUGAAAGCCUUCGGCUUAACCGGAGAAGUGCAUCGGAAACUGGAUAACUUGAGUGCAGAAGAGGGUAGUGGAACUCCAUGUGUAGCGGUGGAAUGCGUAGAUAUAUGGAAGAACACCAGUGGCGAAGGCGGCUACCUGGUCUGCAACUGACGCUGAGACUCGAAAGCAUGGGUAGCGAACAGGAUUAGAUACCCUGGUAGUCCAUGCCGUAAACGAUGAGUGCUAGGUGUUGGAGGGUUUC